AUUGAACGCUGGCGGCAUGCCUUACACAUGCAAGUCGAACGGCAGCACGGGAGCAAUCCUGGUGGCGAGUGGCGAACGGGUGAGUAAUAUAUCGGCACGUGCCCAGUCGUGGGGGAUAACGCCGCGAACGCUGUGCUAAUACCGCAUACGCUCUACGGAUGAAAGCGGGGGAUCGCAAGACCUCGCGCGAUUGGAGCGGCAGCUAUCAGGUUAGCGAGUUGGUGGGGUAAAGGCCCACCAAGGCGACGAGCUGUAGCUGGUCUGAGAGGACGACCAGCCAAAGUGGAACUGAGGCACGGUCCAGACUCCUACGGGGGGGAGCAGUGGGGAAUUUUGGACAAUGGGCGCAAGCCUGAUCCAGCAAUGCGGCGUGCAGGAUGAAGGCCUUCGGGUUGUAAACUGCUUUUGUACGGAACGAAACGGCCCUUUCUAAUACAGGGGGCUAAUGACGGUACCGUAAGAAUAAGCACCGGCUAACUACGUGCCAGCAGCCGCGGUAA
This 500-nucleotide ribosomal RNA is filed under the name uncultured bacterium. Its description in RNAcentral is "partial 16S ribosomal RNA". It matches the Rfam family "Bacterial small subunit ribosomal RNA", at positions 29 to 523 of the family's 1533-position model. The record is from RNAcentral.